Molecule: ribosomal RNA, 478 nt
Filed under: uncultured bacterium
Lineage: Bacteria
Description: partial 16S ribosomal RNA
Rfam family: Bacterial small subunit ribosomal RNA
Source: RNAcentral
GAUGAACGCUGGCGGCGUGCUUAACACAUGCAAGUCGAACGAGAAAUGUAGACGGAAACCUUCGGGCGGAAGCCUUCAUUUCGAGUGGCGGACGGGUGAGUAACGCGUGGGUAACCUGCCUCAUACAGGGGGAUAACAGUUGGAAACGACUGUUAAUACCGCAUAAGACCACAGCAUCGCAUGAUGCGGGGGUAAAAACUCCGGUGGUAUGAGAUGGACCCGCGUUCGAUUAGCCAGUUGGCGGGGUAACGGCCCACCAAAGCGACGAUCGAUAGCCGAUCUGAGAGGAUGACCGGCCACAUUGGGACUGAGACACGGCCCAAACUCCUACGGGAGGCAGCAGUGGGGAAUAUUGCACAAUGGGGGAAACCCUGAUGCAGCGACGCCGCGUGAGUGAAGAAGUACUUCGGUAUGUAAAGCUCUAUCAGCAGGGAAGAAAAUGACGGUACCUGAGGAAGAAGCCCCGGCUAACUUCGUG